RNAcentral lists this ribosomal RNA (240 nucleotides) under uncultured bacterium. Its description in RNAcentral is "partial 16S ribosomal RNA". It matches the Rfam family "Bacterial small subunit ribosomal RNA", at positions 15 to 236 of the family's 1533-position model. The record is from RNAcentral.
GAUCCUGGCUCAGGAUGAACGCUGGCGGCGUGCUUAACACAUGCAAGUCGAGCGAAGCGCUUAAGUUUGAUUCUUUGGAUGAAGACUUUUGUGACUGAGCGGCGGACGGGUGAGUAACGCGUGGGUAACCUGCCUCAUACAGGGGGAUAACAGUUAGAGAUGACUGCUAAUACCGCAUAAGACCACGGUACCGCAUGGUACAGUAGGUAAAAACUCCGGUGGUAUGAGAUGGACCCGCGU